AUCGCUUCUCGGCCUUUUGGCUAAGAUCAAGUGUAAUAACUUCAAAUACAUAGUCACUUAGGCAUUUUGUUUUAAUCUAAAUUUCUUGAGUUUCUUCACUUUAA
This 104-nucleotide small nuclear RNA is filed under the name Zalophus californianus (California sea lion). RNAcentral's name for it is "U2 spliceosomal RNA (ENSZCAG00015010448.1)". It matches the Rfam family "U2 spliceosomal RNA". Rfam says of the family: U2 is a small nuclear RNA (snRNA) component of the spliceosome (involved in pre-mRNA splicing). Complementary binding between U2 snRNA (in an area lying towards the 5' end but 3' to hairpin I) and the branchpoint sequence (BPS) of the intron results the bulging out of an unpaired adenosine, on the BPS, which initiates a nucleophilic attack at the intronic 5' splice site, thus starting the first of two transesterification reactions that mediate splicing. RNAcentral also lists the same sequence under 1 other name. The record is from RNAcentral. Lineage: Eukaryota; Metazoa; Chordata; Mammalia; Carnivora; Otariidae.